ACACGUACUGUGCGAACGUUAUUCGGAAUCACUGGGCUUAAAGGGUACGUAGGCGGCCUAUCAAGUCAGGUGUGAAAUCCCACGGCUCAACCGUGGAACUGCGCUUGAAACUGAUAGGCUUGAGAGAGACAGGGGUGUGUGGAACUUCUCGUGGAGCGGUGAAAUGUGUUGAUAUGAGAAGGAACACCGGUGGCGAAGGCGACACACUGGGUCUUUUCUGACGCUGCGGUACGAAAGCUAGGGGAGCGAACGGGAUUAGAAACCCUUGUAGUCC
Molecule: ribosomal RNA, 274 nt
Filed under: uncultured bacterium
Lineage: Bacteria
Description: partial 16S ribosomal RNA
Rfam family: Bacterial small subunit ribosomal RNA
Source: RNAcentral